This 952-nucleotide long non-coding RNA is filed under the name Vigna radiata. RNAcentral's name for it is "long non-coding RNA (VRAD_LNC016527)". Lineage: Eukaryota; Viridiplantae; Streptophyta; Magnoliopsida; Fabales; Fabaceae. The record is from RNAcentral.
AGGGGUAUAACACCCAAUCCCAAUGUAACAGGAUGAACCUCAGAUAUACCCUCAGAACAUGAAUCAAUCUCAAAUGUAGAAACAAUAUCAACAGCAGGCUCAGAUUCAUGUUCAGUGCAUGGAGAAUAAACAUUUAGAUGUAAUAGCAAAAGGUGGUUCUCAUCAUGCAAGGAGGGAGAAUUAAAAGCAUGCUCAUCAACAAUAUAAUCAUCAACAUACCUAUCAUCAGCAUAAUCAUCAACAACAGAAUCAAUCAUAGGCAUGUUUACCUCCACUUCCCUGGAUGUGGCUAAAGUGGUGGGAGAUGAAAGUGGUCCACCUAUCUCGAAGGUAGUGCUCAUAUCUGCCUGGUCCUCCAAUUCUUCAUUAGUCUCCUCAGGUGCAAGAGUGGGGACAUAGGAGUGUGGGAAAGUAGAUGGCGCAGUACUAAACCCAUGACUCUGCUCCUCAUAUCCUAUGUGGAUGGCACCAACAUCAUCUAGAAGCUGAACAGCCUGAAAUGGUGAUUCCUCUGAAACAUAAGACUGUUUCUCAGUGAGCUAAGUGACCGUCUCCCCCAUCUGGUUGCUCAAACUCUGAAUUGACGCUCUGGUCUCCUGUUGAAACUCCAUGUUCAGUUGCUGUAACUAAAUGUUUUGAAUAGUCAUCUGCUCCAAUAACUCCUUCAAUGUAGGCUCAGAAGUAGUGGGAGGAUGAGGAGUUCCUUGGGCAGGCUCAUGAAACUGCGGCUGCUGUGGUUCCUGAACAGGUGGAGAAGGCAUACAAGAAUUCUGGAAUGGCUGGUUUUGUUGUGGAGCAUCAUACCAUCCCAGGUCAGGAUCAUUCCACCCAGGAUCGUUGCUAUAUGAAUCAAAAUGAUGCUGAGUAGGGGAGAAUCUAUCUAAAAACAAAUGCUUAAGAUCUUCCCAAUUGACCCUGAAUUCUGGUGGAAGAUGAAUAAGCCACUCUCAUG